UCCAUCCUGUUGCUUGGAAAGUGGAUGCAGUGGCUGGCGUGGCAGCCCCAUCUUCCCCGGUGAAGACCGCGAGGCGGAGUCCAGAUUCCUAAAGACUCUGUGAAACAGACCCAUCAUCCUAGCCCUGGGUGGUCUACUUUUGGACUUUGCCGUGAGGCAGAAGUAUCCAGCACAGAGUCGAUGCGCCACCCUCCGAGACCGCCUUCUGACUCUCUGUCGAUCCCCGGCUUGCCCUCCGGAAAAUGUGUCCCCCACCCUUACUGGCGUCAGCAAGAAAAACCUGACCAAAGGGCACGCCUUAGGUUCCAGGUUACACAAAUCCAUGGGAGAAAAAUCAGCAGUGGAGGAGGAAAUACACUAUUUAUUUACAGUUCUUUCACUUUAUCCACAAUUUCCAUACAAACAUAAAAACUAAAAAAAUAAAACCACCACUUGGGAA
Long non-coding RNA from Leopardus geoffroyi (Geoffroy's cat), 439 nucleotides. RefSeq lists it as uncharacterized. The transcript has 2 exons. NCBI's taxonomy places the organism in Eukaryota, Metazoa, Chordata, Mammalia, Carnivora, Felidae. The record is from RefSeq and is a predicted model, not a curated record.